GACAGGGGUCUCAAGCGUUAAUCGGAAUCACUGGGCUUAAAGGGCGCGUAGGCGGUUCGUUAAGUCCUGUGUGAAAUCCCCCGGCUCAACUGGGGAACUGCACAGGAAACUAGCGGGCUUGAGUUCGGGAGAGGGAAGCGGAAUUCCGGGUGUAGCGGUGAAAUGCGUAGAUAUCCGGAGGAACACCGGUGGCGAAGGCGGCUUCCUGGACCGACACUGACGCUGAGGCGCGAAAGCUAGGGGAGCAAACGGG
This 253-nucleotide ribosomal RNA is filed under the name uncultured bacterium. RNAcentral's name for it is "partial 16S ribosomal RNA". It matches the Rfam family "Bacterial small subunit ribosomal RNA", at positions 524 to 776 of the family's 1533-position model. The record is from RNAcentral.